GGGGAUUUAGCUCAGUGGUAGAGCGUUUGCCUAGAGCGCUUGCAAGCACAAGGCCCUGGGUUCGGUCCCCAGCUCCG
Molecule: transfer RNA, 77 nt
Filed under: Rattus norvegicus (Norway rat)
Lineage: Eukaryota; Metazoa; Chordata; Mammalia; Rodentia; Muridae
Rfam family: tRNA
About the family: Transfer RNA (tRNA) molecules are approximately 80 nucleotides in length. Their secondary structure includes four short double-helical elements and three loops (D, anti-codon, and T loops).
Source: Rfam by way of RNAcentral